CGGACCGGGCCUAAGUUCCCU
This 21-nucleotide small RNA is filed under the name Arabidopsis thaliana (thale cress). RNAcentral describes it as "Ath_wt_17421". The record is from RNAcentral. Lineage: Eukaryota; Viridiplantae; Streptophyta; Magnoliopsida; Brassicales; Brassicaceae.